GGCGGACCCAGGGUCCCCCCGCAAUGAUAACCUGUGAACUCGGCCAGGUCCGGAAGGAAGCAACCGUAGCAGGCGACUCGUGUGCCGGGGUGUGGCUCUGGGGACGUCACCAAUC
Molecule: signal recognition particle RNA, 115 nt
Filed under: Shewanella amazonensis SB2B
Lineage: Bacteria; Pseudomonadati; Pseudomonadota; Gammaproteobacteria; Alteromonadales; Shewanellaceae
Description: SRP RNA; RNA component of signal recognition particle
Rfam family: Bacterial small signal recognition particle RNA (bases 8-104)
About the family: The signal recognition particle (SRP) is a universally conserved ribonucleoprotein involved in the co-translational targeting of proteins to membranes.
Source: RNAcentral